AUACGGAAGGUCCGGGCGUUAUCCGGAUUUAUUGGGUUUAAAGGGAGCGCAGGCGGAGAUGCAAGCGUGACGUCAAAUUUCGGGGCUCAACCCCGUCUCGCGUCGCGAACUGCGUCCCUUGGUUGCGGGAAGGGGAGGCGGAACUCGUGGUGUAGCGGUGAAAUGCAUAGAUAUCACGAAGAACUCCGAUCGCGAAGGCAGCCUUCCGGCCCGUCAACGACGCUCAUGCUCGAAGGUGCGGGUAUCAAACAGGAUUAGAUACCCUGGUAGUCCGUACAGUAAACGAUGGACACCCGCGGUUUGGCCUGUAUGGCUGAGCCGCCAAGCGAAAGCGUUAAGUGUCCCACCUGGGGAGUACGCCGGCAACGGUGAAACUUAAAGGAAUUGACGGGG
This 393-nucleotide ribosomal RNA is filed under the name uncultured bacterium. Its description in RNAcentral is "partial 16S ribosomal RNA". It matches the Rfam family "Bacterial small subunit ribosomal RNA", at positions 523 to 918 of the family's 1533-position model. The record is from RNAcentral.